GGAGAGGUGGCCGAGCGGUUGAUGGCACCGGUCUUGAAAACCGGCAUUGACGCAAGUCAAUCGUGAGUUCGAAUCUCACCCUCUCCG
This 87-nucleotide transfer RNA is filed under the name Candidatus Desantisbacteria bacterium CG1_02_49_89. Its description in RNAcentral is "tRNA-Ser". It matches the Rfam family "tRNA". From Rfam's summary of the family: Transfer RNA (tRNA) molecules are approximately 80 nucleotides in length. Their secondary structure includes four short double-helical elements and three loops (D, anti-codon, and T loops). Further hydrogen bonds mediate the characteristic L-shaped molecular structure. tRNAs have two regions of fundamental functional importance: the anti-codon, which is responsible for specific mRNA codon recognition, and the 3' end, to which the tRNAs corresponding amino acid is attached (by aminoacyl-tRNA synthetases). tRNAs cope with the degeneracy of the genetic code in two manners: having more than one tRNA (with a specific anti-codon) for a particular amino acid; and 'wobble' base-pairing, i.e. permitting non-standard base-pairing at the 3rd anti-codon position. Lineage: Bacteria; Candidatus Desantisiibacteriota. The record is from RNAcentral. RNAcentral also lists the same sequence under 3 other names.